GAUGAAGAACGUAGCGAAAUGCGAUAAGUAAUGUGAAUUGCAGAAUUCAGUGAAUCAUCGAAUCUUUGAACGCACCUUGCACCCUUUGGCAUUCCGAAGGGUAUGCUCGUUUGAGUGUCAUUGUACUCUCACACUCUCCGAUCCUAUGGAUUCGGGGAGCGGUGGACUUGGGUGUUGCUGCCUUUCCUUGUGGCUCACCUCAAAUGUGUCAGUGCACCUCUUGGUUGGACAUAGUACGGCGUGAUAAGUGUCUUCGCCGGCACCUCGCAAGAGGGUGGCCGAUCGGGAGCUCUGUGCUUUCAAACCGUCUUCGGACAAUUUCUGACAACUUGACCUCAAAUCGAGUAGGACUACCCGCUGAACUUAAGCAUAUCAAUAAGCGAGGA
Molecule: unclassified non-coding RNA, 386 nt
Filed under: soil metagenome
Description: partial contains 5.8S ribosomal RNA, internal transcribed spacer 2, and large subunit ribosomal RNA
Rfam family: 5.8S ribosomal RNA (bases 1-120)
Source: RNAcentral